Molecule: ribosomal RNA, 580 nt
Filed under: uncultured Bacilli bacterium
Lineage: Bacteria; Bacillati; Bacillota; Bacilli
Description: bacterial SSU rRNA
Rfam family: Bacterial small subunit ribosomal RNA
Source: RNAcentral
UACAUGCAAGUAGAACGCUGAAGGAGGAGCUUGCUUCUCUGGAUGAGUUGCGAACGGGUGAGUAACGCGUAGGUAACCUGCCUGGUAGCGGGGGAUAACUAUUGGAAACGAUAGCUAAUACCGCAUAACAGUAGAUGUUGCAUGACAUUUGCUUAAAAGGUGCAAUUGCAUCACUACCAGAUGGACCUGCGUUGUAUUAGCUAGUUGGUGGGGUAACGGCUCACCAAGGCGACGAUACAUAGCCGACCUGAGAGGGUGAUCGGCCACACUGGGACUGAGACACGGCCCAGACUCCUACGGGAGGCAGCAGUAGGGAAUCUUCGGCAAUGGACGGAAGUCUGACCGAGCAACGCCGCGUGAGUGAAGAAGGUUUUCGGAUCGUAAAGCUCUGUUGUAAGAGAAGAACGAGUGUGAGAGUGGAAAGUUCACACUGUGACGGGUAUCUUACCAGAAAGGGACGGGCUAACUACGUGCCAGCAGCCGCGGUAAUACGUAGGUCCCGAGCGUUGUCCGGAUUUAUUGGGCGUAAAGCGAGCGCAGGCGGUUAGAUAAGUCUGAAGUUAAAGGCUGUGGCUUAACC